Molecule: ribosomal RNA, 253 nt
Filed under: uncultured bacterium
Lineage: Bacteria
Description: partial 16S ribosomal RNA
Rfam family: Bacterial small subunit ribosomal RNA
Source: RNAcentral
UACGUAGGAGGCGAGCGUUGUCCGGAAUCACUGGGUGUAAAGCGCGUGUAGGCGGCCUGUCAAGUCUGCUGUGAAAGCGCCUGGCUUAACCGGGCGAGGUCGGUGGAAACUGGCGGGCUGGAGGACGGUAGAGGGGGGUGGAAUUCCCGGUGUAGUGGUGAAAUGCGUAGAGAUGUGGAGGAACACCGAUGGCGAAGGCAGCCCCCUGGGUCAACACUGACGCUCAUGCACGAAAGCGUGGGGAGCAAACAGG